This 497-nucleotide ribosomal RNA is filed under the name uncultured bacterium. Its description in RNAcentral is "partial 16S ribosomal RNA". It matches the Rfam family "Bacterial small subunit ribosomal RNA", at positions 28 to 507 of the family's 1533-position model. The record is from RNAcentral.
GAUGAACGCUGGCGGCGUGCCUAAUACAUGCAAGUCGAGCGAAAAGACGAGGAGCUCGCUCCUUUAACGUUAGCGGCGGACGGGUGAGUAACAAGUGGAUAACCCACUUAUUUGACUGGGAUAACUUCGGGAAAACGGAGCUAGUACAGGCUAAUAUACUGAACCGCAUGGUUCAAUAGUGAAAGACGGUUUUCCUGUCACUAAUAGAUGGAUCCGCGCCGCAUUAGCUAGUUGGUAAGGUAACGGCUUACCAAGGCAACGAUGCGUAGCCGACCUGAGAGGGUGAUCGGCCACACUGGAACUGAGACACGGUCCACACUCCUACGGGAGGCAGCAGUAGGGAAUCUUCCGCAAUGGGCGAAAGCCUGACGGAGCAACACCGCGUGAGUGAAGAAGGUCUUCGGGUCGUAAAACUCUGUUAUUAGGGAAGAACAAAUGUGUAAGUAGCUAUUCACGUCUUGACGUUACCUAAACAGAAAGCCACGGCUAACUACGUG